UAAUUCUUGAUAGGUCAAGAUUCCCGGAAGGUUUUUUGGUUUAAAGGGCGUAACAGCAUCUUUUUAUUUUCGCCCGAGGAUGGGACUGCGGCCGAUCAGGCUGUUGGGGGGGUAAAGGCCCACCAAACCUGUAACCGGUACGGGCUUUGAGAGAAGGAGCCCGGAGAUGGACACUGAGACAAGGGUCCAGGUCCUACGGGGCGCAGCAGGCGCGAAACCUUCGCAAUGCGCGAAAGCGCGACGAGGUUAUUCUGAGUGAUUUCCGCUGAGGAAAUCUUUUCUUAGAUCUAAAAAGUCUGGGGAAUAAGGGGAGGGCAAGUCUGGUGUCAGCCGCCGCGGUAAUACCAGCUCCUCGAGUGGUCAGGGCGUUUAUUGGGCCUAAAGCAUCCGUAGCCUGCUCAGUAGGUCUCCUGUUAAAUCCAACGGCUCAACCGUUGGUCUGCAGGAGAUACCGCUGGGCUAGGAGGCGGGAGAGGCGGACGGUACUCCGAGGGUAGGGGUAAAAUCCUUUGAUCCCCGGAA
This 522-nucleotide ribosomal RNA is filed under the name uncultured crenarchaeote. RNAcentral's name for it is "bacterial SSU rRNA". It matches the Rfam family "Archaeal small subunit ribosomal RNA", at positions 147 to 654 of the family's 1478-position model. The record is from RNAcentral. Lineage: Archaea; Thermoproteati; Thermoproteota.